CAUAGAUAAGACCAUUGUUGCAACUACAUUUAGCUUUUGUUUGCAUGAUAAUAAUGGCCAUAAUAAAGCUACAAGGAGAUAUAUUUCCUCAUUUCCAUAUAAUUACAAUAACACUUAGGGUCCGUUUGAUUGCAAAAAUGGUAAAAGACAAAUCAAUUCUAUGUAAAUUAGAAAAGAAAAAACCAUCAAAAUUAUGAGAAUUCGAUUUCCACUUAAUUGACCAAAAACAUUCUUUUAAGUGUUUGUACCUUGGAAUCCGAACUUCAUUUUCACUUUCGUAUUAAACAGCCAAAGUAGAAAACGAAUUUCUUGGAUAUAAUAUUUUCCAUGGAAUUUAAUGCUAUCAAACGGACCCUUAGAUUUUUCUUUUCUUUUUUGAAUUUUAAAAAUUGUGUGUCAAAACAUCUAGGAUUAUACACAUGAUAAUCCCAUAUUUCAUGGACCAACUAGGACAUUCUUGUUGUGUAUUGGAUAACGUCAUCUAACCCAACCAUAAUCCACCGUGAGGCAUUCUGAUUUCUUGGCUCCUUGAUCAGUCCAUUUUUUCCAUUCCACUGUUCCUGGAUGCUUCAAAAUUUUCUCUUUUCGAUGUAGUUUGUUACCUGAAAGAAGAAAAUUUAUAAUAUAAUGAGAACA
This 636-nucleotide long non-coding RNA is filed under the name Olea europaea subsp. europaea. The record is from RNAcentral. Lineage: Eukaryota; Viridiplantae; Streptophyta; Magnoliopsida; Lamiales; Oleaceae.